RNAcentral lists this ribosomal RNA (496 nucleotides) under uncultured bacterium. RNAcentral describes it as "partial 16S ribosomal RNA". It matches the Rfam family "Bacterial small subunit ribosomal RNA", at positions 28 to 507 of the family's 1533-position model. The record is from RNAcentral.
GACGAACGCUGGCGGCGUGCCUAAUACAUGCAAGUUGAGCGCUGAAGGUUGGUACUUGUACCAACUGGAUGAGCAGCGAACGGGUGAGUAACGCGUGGGGAAUCUGCCUUUGAGCGGGGACAACAUUUGGAAACGAAUGCUAAUACCGCAUAAAAACUUUAAACGCAAGUUUUAAGUUUGAAAGAUGCAAUUGCAUCACUCAAAGAUGAUCCCGCGUUGUAUUAGCUAGUUGGUGAGGUAAAGGCUCACCAAGGCGAUGAUACAUAGCCGACCUGAGAGGGUGAUCGGCCCAAUUGGGACUGGGACACGGCCCCAACUCCUACGGGAGGCAGCCGUAGGGAAUCUUCGGCAAUGGACGAAAGUCUGACCGAGCAACGCCGCGUGAGUGAAGAAGGUUUUCGGAUCGUAAAACUCUGUUGGUAGAGAAGAACGUUGGUGAGAGUGGAAAGCUCAUCAAGUGACGGUAACUACCCAGAAAGGGACGGCUAACUACGUG